Triticum dicoccoides is the source of this 5373-nucleotide long non-coding RNA. RefSeq lists it as uncharacterized. The record is from RefSeq and is a predicted model, not a curated record. Lineage: Eukaryota; Viridiplantae; Streptophyta; Magnoliopsida; Poales; Poaceae. The transcript is spliced from 2 exons.
UUAAUAAUACAGAAUACAAAAAUAUCUGCUCCUUUGGCCCGUCUUCUCCUCCUCCAUUGUUCCUCCUCUGCUGCUCUCCAUGCCCCUAGGCGGCGCUCCCAUUCAUAGCCGGCAACCCGUCUUCUCCUCCGCUGCUCUCCAUGACCUAGACGGCGCUCCCAUUCAUGGCCGGUGAGCAGAAGCUUCAGCCUCCUUCGCGCCCCAAGAUGGUUGAUGCAUCAUAUGAGGAGGUGUAGUACGCAUGAUGGUUUCAAGAAAGGAGGCCCCGAUUGGUACUUGAGGCCGUCAAGUUGAGCAAUUACGUUGGACUGGUGGCACCUUAACUUACAAUCGAAGCCCUACUCGAGUCAGUCUCCCGUUAUUCCUGCCCCACUCCACUGGUAAAUCGCCUUGCAUUGUUAAAUCCCUGCUCCUCCAUCCGUUUAAUUCAUCACUGAACCCCUAAUAAGUCGGCUUAAUCCAUCACAUCUCAUCAACAACAAAAGGCCUUUUUCUAUAUCUAUCUUCAUCACUUCUCUACAUCAGAUUAUACAUUUGGGCGAGUGGGUGAGAACCAGCUAGAAUGUGAUCUCGCCUAAAGUGGCACCAUGCAGCAAGUUUCUGUUAAACUACAUCCACAUCAACUGCCACUGCCAACCUGCCAAUUUACAUUAACUGUUUACACGGGAAGCUUUACACAUGUCUUCCCGUGCGACCAUUUGUUAGACAACAAAAAUAGUUGACGAUUCCUAUGGAAUGAAUUUCGAUGUUGUAUGUUAUUUCUUCCGAGUAAACGCUAAUUGUUAGAUUAUCGCAUGGUAGUGGUAUAUAUAUCUAUCUUUGGCAGAUCUGCAGUAAGAUCAAAUUGUUGCCCAUGCAAAAAUUAAGCUAGAUGUACGGCGUACUUGAGUUAUAUAGGUUCUAUUUACAGCACAUACAUGUACCGUGUUUGAAAAGGGAUCCAAAUCUAUGUUUUAUUAUUAUUAAACACCCAUAUGAAAUUUCCCUGCAAAUGUAACCAUGGAAUCCAUAUUUCCUAGGUUCAUUCCUGAUAAUAUGAUAUUUUUUUUGGAGUUCCAGUGUCUAGAUUUUAGAGAUGCUAACUUAUACAAAAUAUGUAUCAGUGUGCCCUAUUAGUGAUUUGCAUAUUUAGAGCGGGGAGGUAUAUAUGUUGAUAAUGAUCCGAAUAUUGUCAGCUAAAUAUGUUUUUACGAAACUAACAGAUUUAUGUGUUCCAUUGUGUGCAGCAGAAUGUCUAGUGUACAUGCGUGACACUAUAUCUACUUUUCCAAAUAGUAAUCUAGACUAGGAACUGUAAAAACAAUAUGUGAGAAAACUUAAUCACUACCAUACUAUUUUUAAGUAGGUUGCAAAUAGGAUAUGUAGUCCUUAUAUGAUUUUAACUACCUCCAAUUCGCGUCAUUGAUCACAUUGUAACUAUUCCUGCUACUGCAGGUUUGACUUGAAUUUUGGCUUCUGUACGUAUAGUGUUGGUUCGCUUGUCCAUAGCUUUCUACCUCCCGGAAUCCAUCUUCCUAUUGCCACAUAAUUACAUCAUUUGUUUUUGGGAAAUCAAUGUAUCGAUACAUUGUUUCCCUCUUCAGUGCACAUGCUCUUAUAUUUGUUUUUGGACUGAUUCUUCGAUUUAUUUCAUGGUAUGCUUGGAUAACUAGAUUAUCUAAUUUGAAUUUCUCCAGUCUUUUGUAUGUUCACUUGCAUAGACGGCUUAAUCAGUUAAUCUAGAACCUAAACUGAAGAUUAAAUAUAGCACAUAUACUUGGUCAUUUCUCCUAAGAAGAUUAAUCCACCUUGACUUUAACUUGACUUCCAAAGAAGUUCUGAAUGAUCAAGCAUUUUUUGGUUUUUUUAUUAAACUAAAAUAAUGUUGCACUCUGACAAUAAUAUUCAGAUUUUCUAAGUUAACAGAAAUCUUUCAAUUUUGUUAGGAUUAAUCAUGUCUAGACGAACUGAGAGAGUCAGUUAGUUUGUUAGCUGCAUGCAUGGAGUAGUUAUCUAGUUGCCAGCUGCAUGCACGUACUAGUCUUUGGACCCUAGAGAGAUUCUAGGAGAAGAUAAGAUCAUGGGUUAGUGCAUGUAGUUAGUUGGUUAGUGGAGCAACUAGUCUGGAGACGUGAUGGCCGAGUGUGAUGGCCGGCGUGAGUGCGUUGGUCUUGGCUGAGUGCCAAACUUUGUAUAAAUAGUCAUCUCAUUCAGUAAUGGAAAAAGGCCGUGAGGGCUGGAGAAAAAGAUGUAGCAUACGUGUGUCUCACCGGGAGGAAGAGGCAAAGCUAGUUUCCUCCGGUGAGGUAUGCGUGCGUGUGUGUGUUGAGUCUUCUUUCUCUUGUGUGUGUUCUUGAGAGAAGAAGAGAGAAACACAAGUGAGAGUUGUGAGAGGAGUGGAAGAAGAAGAAGCGGCACGACGAGGAGGCGGCGUCAACCAUUGGUAUCAUGAGCUUGGUUGUCUUGGGGCGUCAUUGCUCUUGCCGGCCGGAGGUGUGCCGACGGUGGCGGCGUCCGUCGGCGGCGCGCGAUGAAGUUCCGGGUCUCGUGUCGGCCUAUGGAGGUGCGCGACACCUCGGCGAGCGCGGCGGCGCUGCACGGUGGCAUGGAGGCUGUGGAGCUCCUGCGUGGCGGCGCGGUGGACUCCAUGUGAUGCGGAGGUCGACGAUGCGAGGUGGAGGUCAUCGGCGGCGUGGUUCCGCUGGUGGCCCGUUGCGGUGUGAUACCGCUAGAUUCAGCCGAUGUGAUGAUCAGCGUCGAGGUGUCGUGCACGUCAAGAGGUGGUCACUGCGUGCAGCAAGACAGCGUGGUGAUCGGUGUCGCGAAGGCGUCGUCCACGUCAAGAGGAGGCCACGGCGUGAUGCUGCGGCGACAAGGAGACUGUGGUGCGAUGCCGCGAGGAGGAGGCGGCGGUGUGAUGCCGCCACAAGAAGGAGACGGUGCGAUGCCGCUUGGUGCGGCGGCGGCGCGAUGCCGUCCGGCGCUAGCAGUGGCAGUGUGAUGCUACCACGAGAAGACGACGGUGAGAUGCCGUUCCAAGAAGACGGCAGUGAGAUGCUGCUGACAAGAUGUACGGCGGUGUGAAGCCGUCAUGAGGAUCAGCAUGAAGCUGGUCGACGGUGGUCUACGUGGUGGUGUGAUGCCUUCGGCGAGAUGGAUCGGCCGCGAUGACGGGGCGAUGGUGCUGCGAAGGCAAAGUUCAUGGCAAGAGGUUGCAGGUGAUCUGCAUCAAGAUUAGAGGAGUUGACAUGACAAGAUUAGGGAGGUGAAUGUUAGGAUUAAUCAUGUCUAGUCGAACUGAGAGAGUCAGUUAGUUUGUUAGCUGCAUGCGUGGAGUAGUUAUCUAGUUGUCAGCUGCAUGCACGUACUAGUCUUUGGACCCUAGAGAGAUUCUAGGAGAAGAUAAGAUCAUGGGUUAGUUCAUGUAGUUAGUUGGUUAGUGGAGCAACUAGUCUCGAGACGUGAUGGCCGAGUGUGAUGGCCGGCGUGAGUGCGUGGGUCUUGGCUGAGUGCCAAACUUUGUAUAAAUAGUCAUCUCAUUCAGUAAUGGAAAAAGGCCGUGAAGACUGGAGAAAAAGAUGUAGCAUACGUGUGUAUCACCGGGAGGAAGAGGCAAAGCUAGGUUCCUCUGGUGAGGUAUGCGUGCGUGUGUGUGUUGAGUCUUCUUUCUCUUGUGUGUGUUCUUGAGAGAAGAAGAGAGAAACACAAGUGAGAGUUGUGAGAGGAGAGGAAGAAGAAGAAGCGGCACCACGAGGAGGCGGCGUCAACAAAUUUCGUACCACUUUUUUUAAUCGUGCAUUUGAAUGAUGGCGAUAUUAUCUAUUCUCCGAAUUCCGCUUGCAUGUUUCCAGUUGAAACAGUAACUGAAAUUGAUAAGUAUGCAACGAUUUAUGCCCUCCAGCAUGAGUAAAAUGUUGUGGGUUACCAUUUCCGAUAAGUAACCACUGUAUUAUUUUCUAUGUGUAUAAUUGACAUGUAUACAUGUUAUCACUCUGCUUGAACCAUCCAUCUCCACAUUACGCCCGAGACUUCCAUCGCAAUAAUCUAUAUAUAUGCAGGUAGUGUCCAAUAUGUAUACACAAGCUCCUCUCACAGGCCGACUACGUUGAUUGUGACUGAGCGUGUGUGUGUGGCCGUGAUGUAAGCUUUAUCUUGGCCUGAGUAUCAGUUCCCUUUUAUGAUACAAUUUUGGAUGCUAUUUUAUUCUACAUGUUUAGGUUUCUACAGGUCCCAUUGGCGGCUACCUUUUAGUGAUACGGCAGCUGAAUGGCAUGCUCACCAGUAAAAAAAAAAAGGGCAACCUGGUGCAUGUAGCUCCCGCUUGCGCAGGGUCCAGGGAAGGGUCCGACCACUUUGGGUCUAUAGUACGCAGCCUUUCCCUACAUUUCUGUAAGAGGCUGUUUCCAGGACUUGAACCCAUGACCUCAUGGUCACAAGGCAGCAUGCUCACCAGUAGUUCUGUCAAAACGAAAUCGACUGGACUGUAUUUUUUAUGUGUGUUACUAAGUACAAGCUGUGAUUAUUUUCUUUCUAGGGAUGGCAAAUUUCUAGGCAUUAAGCUUUUUGAGACGUUAAGGUCUCUCAUAAUUAAUUAGCCUUUGUAAGGUGUAUACUGACAAUAAGCCCAUUGCAGUAAUUGGUUGGAUAAUUCUUACAUGUUUUAUUCAAAUGUCUGGUUAAAUUAGUGUCGGAUGCCCCUUCAUCGAUUACUUUUUUGGAUAUGAAUUAUUACCAUAAGAAGUAGUCCCUCUGUAAAGAAAUAUAACAGUGUUUAGAUUACUACUUUAGUUAUUUAAACGCUCUUAUAUUUCUUUAUGGAGGGAGUAUAUUGGUUCUUCAGUGUUUCAUUCUUACAGUACACAAAUUAUAUUGUUUUACGUUGGUCAUUUCUCACUCUGCAGUCUGUAUCUUUUGCUUCAUAAUUCAUAUGUACACAAGAUUGAUGCCCAGAAGUUUCAUCCUUCCGUGCUAAAUGUCAUUCUUUUUUGACUUGAUAAACACCAGGUAACAUGGAGUCUUCUCAUUUGUAAUGGCAUAGAUAUAGGAACGAGCAAUUCAGCUUUGCUAUAAGAAAGCGACGGACAAAAGAGAACUGGAUAUUGUUGUUGAGAGCUAGCUCUGGUCACAUGAUCAUCUAUCUAUAUAGUUUUCAACAAAAGAGAACUGGAUAAUUUUUACUAAGGGCUAGCUCUGGCCGCAUGGUCAUCCAUGUAUAUAGUUUUCAACACUAAACGUGUCAUGAUUGGUACAGCAUAAUUAGCAAUCUUAGUUUCUUCUGAUCUCAUAAUUUGAAGAUGAACCGAAGAGGGGAAUGUGUACUAUGUUUGGAAUCUGUCACACUAAAUGUGUAUUUGUGGUAUUGAUGUACAGUUAUUAAGAAAGUUACAUUUUCUA